Molecule: ribosomal RNA, 200 nt
Filed under: uncultured bacterium
Lineage: Bacteria
Description: partial 16S ribosomal RNA
Rfam family: Bacterial small subunit ribosomal RNA
Source: RNAcentral
AUUCCUACGGGAGGCAGCAGUGGGGAAUAUUGCACAAUGGGCGCAAGCCCGAUGCAGCCAUGCCGCGUGUGUGAAGAAGGCCUUCGGGUUGUAAAGCACUUUCAGCGAGGAGGAAAGGUUGGUAGCUAAUAACUGCCAGCUGUGACGUUACUCGCAGAAGAAGCACCGGCUAACUCCGUGCCAGCAGCCGCGGUAAUAAU